AUUGAACGCUGGCGGCAUGCCUUACACAUGCAAGUCGAACGGUAACAGGUCUUCGGAUGCUGACGAGUGGCGAACGGGUGAGUAAUACAUCGGAACGUGCCUAGUAGUGGGGGAUAACUACUCGAAAGAGUGGCUAAUACCGCAUGAGAUCUACGGAUGAAUGCAGGGGAUCGCAAGACCUUGUGCUACUAGAGCGGUCGAUGGCAGAUUAGGUAGUUUGUGGGAUAAAAGCUUACCAAGCCGACGAUUUGUAGCUGGUCUGAGAGGACGAUCAGCCACACUGGGACUGAGACACGGCCCAGACUCCUACGGGAGGCAGCAGUGGGGAAUUUUGGACAAUGGGCGCAAGCCUGAUCCAGCAAUGCCGCGUGCAGGAUGAAGGCCUUCGGGUUGUAAACUGCUUUUGUACGGAACGAAAAGCCCUGGGUUAAUACCCUGGGGUCAUGACGGUACCGUAAGAAUAAGCACCGGCUAACUACGUGCCAGCAGCCGCAGUAA
RNAcentral lists this ribosomal RNA (498 nucleotides) under uncultured bacterium. RNAcentral describes it as "partial 16S ribosomal RNA". It matches the Rfam family "Bacterial small subunit ribosomal RNA", at positions 30 to 523 of the family's 1533-position model. The record is from RNAcentral.